This 278-nucleotide long non-coding RNA is filed under the name Varanus komodoensis (Komodo dragon). RNAcentral describes it as "lncRNA (ENSVKKG00000011249.1)". Lineage: Eukaryota; Metazoa; Chordata; Lepidosauria; Squamata; Varanidae. The record is from RNAcentral.
GUUCAAGGAGGGCGACCCAGCAGGCGCCUCCCCAGCCUGCAGGCGAGACGAGUCUAAGCGGACCCCCAGGCGCCCAACGUUUGGAGAGUUCCUGCCUGAGCAGCAGCGUGGCCGGCGCAGGGGCGGCAGAGGCUGUGGGCGCCCGCGGGGUGGAGCCUCCAAGCCCUACAGUAUGCACGACAAUCGCUGGGAGAGGGAGGAGCCCGCGCCAGCCACAGCCCCCUCGGGGAAGAAGACGGACCUCGCCACCAAGCAGCAGGUGCGGCGGGCCGAGGGGG